RNAcentral lists this transfer-messenger RNA (391 nucleotides) under Flavobacteriaceae. RNAcentral's name for it is "MED-G14 sp002457715 Standard tmRNA". It matches the Rfam family "transfer-messenger RNA". From Rfam's summary of the family: Bacterial tmRNA, also known as 10Sa RNA or SsrA, is named for its dual tRNA and mRNA-like properties. RNAcentral also lists the same sequence under 1 other name. Lineage: Bacteria; Pseudomonadati; Bacteroidota; Flavobacteriia; Flavobacteriales. The record is from RNAcentral.
GGGGUCGACUGGAUUUGACAGCGAUCUAGUAAUAUUAGUAAGCAAGUCGAGCGAUUAGUUACAGCUCGUUAAUAUCAACUAAAACUUUUAAAUGGCGAAAAUAAAUACGCUCUUGCUGCUUAAGACUGAAUUAUAGUAAGUCUAGCCAUGUUCUACAAGGUAGAAAAGCGAGAUACCUCGAAAUUUUUUUUGUUGACAAUCAUUUCAUAGAGGUACUGUUAUGUUAACAUAGGAUAACUAUUUCUUCAAUAGUCAUCUGAAAUUAUGAAGAUAAGUAGUAUUUAUGUAGUUUUCAGCAAGAAUACUAACGAAAAUUAAAUGAAAACUAAAUUUGUAGAAACCUAAAAUUUCAGUCGUUUGGACGAGGGUUCGAUUCCCUCCGACUCCACUA